Molecule: long non-coding RNA, 4648 nt
Organism: Olea europaea var. sylvestris
Lineage: Eukaryota; Viridiplantae; Streptophyta; Magnoliopsida; Lamiales; Oleaceae
Exons: 3
Source: RefSeq, a predicted model, not a curated record
UCGAUGAAAAGUUUGUUGAUUUUGUGUUUUACUUUUUGGAUUACGAACGGGGGUGAAAGCAAAGCCUUUGAAGCAACCAAAGGUUGACAAGAAAUAGUAUGACAAGGUAUUGAUUUACUACAAAGAACAUUCCAUUUGGAGUAGUUAUGAAGCUUUUUUCUGAUUAAUUAAUUUGAAUAUAUAAUCAUCAUCUAUCGAGGAAAAUAACAGCCUAUAGGUUUGAUGAAUUUCGAUUGAUUGUUUCUUAAUCAUUUUUUAUUUCCUUUCUUCUUUGUUAAUAACGAGUUUUAUGAAAUUACCAUGUAUUAGAAUCCUGGAUCAUAAAUAAAGAAGGCAUGCUUUGUACGUUAUUUAUACUGCGACAAAACUUGUAUUUAGAUAUAUAUUUUCCUACACAUAUUAUAAUUUUUUUGAUUAAUUAAAUUUGAAAAGAAUUAUCAUUUUCUUUAUGGAAAAUAAGAAGAUUCAGGCUUUGUAAAUUUUGACUUAUUAUUUCUUCAACUAUCUGUUUUCUUUAUUCUUUUUGGUGGUAUUAGCAAUUUAUUUUCUUUCCCAUGAAUAUUUUCUUUUAAGUCGCUUAGUUGAGCUGAUAUUACUUUUUUUGAUUUAUGGAUCUUAGUGGCUGCCCAAUAUGUGGUGUUUGGUGUUUGAAUAAUUAAGUGGCAAUAGAAUUGAAAUUGAAAUUACUUAACCUUGAAUCUUAAAGAUCAAGGCAACGAUUGCUAAUAUAUUCUAGAGUUAACGUUUAGCUUUCAACACUCUUUUUUGAUUUGUUGCUAAUUCGUUUUGUCUACUGGAAUAUUUAACUUAAACUAGAAUUUUAACAACUUAGAUACAUAACAUCAUUAGUAGAUACUUGACGAUGAAGCGUGUAUAGAUUCAUACUUUGAUUGUCAAUCUACACAACUCUUGUUUAUUCAUAAGCAUAGUUUAGGUAACCAUGCAUAUAUCUGGCCAUUAUAGUUGAGUUGCAUAACAUAAUUUAUUACCGUUUUCAUAUUGGUAUAGUUUCUUAAACGAUCAUUUGACUGCUUGUAAGCUUCGAUGCUUCUAAGUUGUUAACUAUGAUUCCACUCUGUCCACAACUUUCGAGAAACAAAAAGAAUAAAAACUAAUUUUGUUCGUUUAGUUUGUUGUGAUCAUAUUUAACUCAAUCUUGAUGAGGCAAGUCUAUGAACAUUCAUGAUAAUACCUUGUUUUCAGAAAUCCUGGUGUAUUGGGAUGGCAUAUUGCUGUUUAAAGUUUCUUAUCUAAAUUUCUUCUCUCUCUUAUAAUUUGAAACACGUCGACCAUAUUCUAGGAUGACAAGGCUUAUCUUUAGAAGAAAGAAGAGAAGGAGGCUCUGAAGGAUCUUAAAGCAGAUGCUACUUGGAGGUGCAGGGCUGAAUAAAAGUGAAAAGAAACGAAACUUAUGAACAAGAAGAAACAAAAAAUUCCUCUGUGGUCAAUUGUAUCACAAUAUUACUAUUUUGUUUAAACAAUUUUAGCACGAUGUUCUUGCUUAUGCUAAACUAUCAAGCAACCUUCUAUGAAAUUCUUGUGUGUGAGAGAGAGACUGCGAGUUAAAGCAUAUGGGGUGUUGACAGUGAUGAAUUUGAUGAAUAGCCCAUAAAGCAUCUAAGCGGGUGCUGGACACUAUAUUUGAGCGCCAAGAGCUACUUGAUCAACUCAUGGGAUUCAUGAAUGAGAACGUGAACCUCAUAAAUUCUUGUACAGAGAUGCCGUGAUGAACUCCACCACAACAUCAUGGUCAAAUUCUAAUCUCGAGAAAGAACAGUUUUGUUGGAAUAUGCCCACCAUAUCCAAUGCAGUAGCUAUCCUUUUGGGUUGUUUAAUUUGAUUGAAUCUUCUUGAAUGAUGGGUUUAAUCUAUGAGCAAGCUUGAUUUGUUUAAAAUUUUAUUUUUGAAAAUUGGUAUGCAAUUUGUGAAGUGAAUAUUAUACUGUUUUGUUUCUUAAUAGAAUCCCAGUGUUGUUUUGUGGAUAUGAUGUAUUAUUAUUUUAUCAAGUCAAUACGAUGAGUUUAUUCUUAAACAUGUUGCCUAACAAAUUGAAUGUUAAAUAGAUUGAUAGAAAUUGCUCACAGUCAAAGUAAACGGGAGUAGUUUUCAAUUUCUUUUGCAUAAUAGUCUGAUGACUUAAUUGUAUUGUAGAUUUCGAAAUCAUCAAAUUUAAUUCUACAUGUUUCCAACUCAAGUGCCGGUCCUUUUAGGAGUAGACCACUAUUUUGAAAGAACAUCCAAGCAAACAAUUGAUAUUUUGAACAGAAGAGGUAAGGGUCUGGAGAACCAACUCGAAUCUCUAAAGGCUAUGAUACAGGAUUUCAAGGCAGAAGGUUUUUUUUUUUUUUUUUGGUCACUACAGCUUCCAAGGCAGUGGUAAGCUUCUUGUUUUUUGGGAGUUGUUAUUGAUUUUUCACUCUUCCACUUAAAAGAGAGUGAGUUUUUCAUUUUUCAUUGUUGUCAUAGUGGUUUUAACAUUUUAACUGACUUAGAACCUGUUUGGUAUUUUUUUUUUCUCCACUCUUAAAAUCACUCUUUCUCUUAAAGUACUAAAUGGGUAGAGUUUGAUUUAUAAAUUUAUUUUUGCAUAUCUGAAGUAGUGGGCAUGAGUUGUAUUUAUGGUACUUAUAAGUGUUGGUGGACAAGUGUCAGCCUCUGAAAUGCUGAACAAUUUUGUUCCUUGAUAUUUGGAUCAUACAUGGCAUUAAGUUGGUGUUGGACACACAAAGGUUACAGGUCAUGUCAUUACGUUCGAUUAGUACACCCUGCUUGGGUGUCAUCUGAAGUGUUACUUCGAGAACAUUAACAUUCGUUCUUAGAAUUAUUAUUAUUAGAAAAGAAGGCAUUACAUGAACGCAUUAUAUUUCUUAUUAACUCCUCGGAUUAAGAAUUUCUCUUGGUAUUCAUUUUUAUGGCAAAAAAGUGGCUUUACAACAGGCACAGAAGCUUUUGGAUGACAUAUUAGAGAGGACAAUUGAAGUAGUGAGGCAUACACAUCAACCUAUAUCAGAGAAAGAUCCCACAAUGAUUGAAGGGGAUUACACUGUUUAAACAUGCUCCCCGAUGAAUAUUGUUUGAUCACUUGGGUAAGAAGAUUUCAUCAAUCAUUCUGCUUGUUUUACUUGGACUGAGGAAGAACCUUUGGUGCCUGUCCUUUUAUGUAUUUGCCAAAGUCCUUAACAGGUCAGAUUGCUUAUCUAUUUAUUUUGCUGAAUAUUCUUGGAUCGAUCACUUGUAUCAAGAGCUGAACCUAAUUAAGUAUUAAUCUGGCUUGUGGAUAAAUGGAUUCUUUGUUGUUCUUUUUCCUAAAUGUUUUUGUUCCUGUGAUCCCAUAGUUUUACUUUGAUAACAGAUGAAUUUUAAGGGCUAAAAAAGAAGACAAGAAUUCUUUUGGGGGAAGAGGACGAGGAAAAAUAAAAAAUGCUUUGCAUGCACUUAUCUCCGACGCCGCAGUUUAUUGAUUAAUCAUCUCGCCUCUGUAUGACGUUUAGUUUCAACAUUUUCCUUUUCUAUUUCGGAGGGAGAGAUGGCUGCCUUCUAUUGUAAACUAGUUUUUUUGAGGUGUGUGAAAAGGUUUCAACUAAUCUUUAAUCAUCAAAAUGUAGUUGAAAGCUGGAAAUGGAGAUAAUAUAUAUAUUUGAAAUGAGAAGUAGAUGCAGCUGGUGUCCCAGCUAUUUGAGGAUAGUGUUGGUGUUUUGGAAGGUAGAGAGCAUAGAACAGUGAAGAAAGGAGGGGGCAGUGGUUUGGAGUUGAGAUGUAGAUGGAAUUGAUGGGUUGAAGGUUGUGGAGCUUGUUGUGGAUUGAUGGUGUGUUUUGCGGGUAGGGAAAAAAUGGUGGUAGUGUGUGUUAGCUAUGGCUUGAAGGGCCUGUUGGCUUAUUUGGAUCGCUCAGUUGGGUUUGGUUUUGGUUUAAGAAACAGAUAAAAUUGUAAAAGAUGCAGCCGGAGUUUAGUAUAGGAGUCAUCUCAGCCUUGCAAUUUUAUUACGAUCUUUGACAAAUUUUCCGGUUAACAUUUAGAUUCCUUUGCUUUACCAGAAAAUGAAACGUUCAUUUCAUUUUGGGGGACUGCAAAUGGUGAUUUGGUACAUCAUGCUGAGUGCAUGCAAUAACUAGAGCAAGUUAGGCAUCAUAAGCUAAACAUUGACGGCAAUGUUUGCACUAUGAUGCUAUAUGACCAUCAGCAUCACAUAGGCCUUCUCAUUCUACAAAAGAAGGAAUGCGAUCGAAAUGAACCACCUCAAAGUGCUGCCGAAUUUGUUAAAUUGAAGUUUGAGCUCGAACAAACUAUUCAUGCAUCUCAUUUGACAGAAGCCCGGACGUGAAAGAUAGCAUGAAAAAGGCCACUGAAAUUCAGAAAAAAUGUGUUCAAAAUGUAUUCUUUUGUGAGGUUCUCUUUCAUUUUUAUGAUGUCUAUGAUCCUUGUCAUAGUUUCUAAUAUGGUCAACUUGUAAGAUUGAAAUUCAUUGCACGAGGAAAUGAACGGGAUUUUGACCCUCACCUAUAUAAUACACGUGUAUGAAAAUUUUGUAAUACAAUCUCCCGUCAAUUCUUAACGUUCAAGACACUAACAAUGCCUUUAAAAUCACGCAACCCGUGCAUUGAACGAGCUGAAAACUAGUCUCUCUUAAAAGAGAGACUUUUAUGUUUA